UACGUAGGGGGCAAGCGUUAUCCGGAUUUACUGGGUGUAAAGGGAGCGUAGACGGCACGGCAAGCCAGAUGUGAAAGCCCGGGGCUCAACCCCAGGACUGCAUUUGGAACUGCUGAGCUAGAGUGUCGGAGAGGCAAGUGGAAUUCCUAGUGUAGCGGUGAAAUGCGUAGAUAUUAGGAGGAACACCAGUGGCGAAGGCGGCUUGCUGGACGAUGACUGACGUUGAGGCUCGAAAGCGUGGGGAGCAAACAGG
This 253-nucleotide ribosomal RNA is filed under the name Dorea longicatena. RNAcentral describes it as "partial 16S ribosomal RNA". It matches the Rfam family "Bacterial small subunit ribosomal RNA", at positions 524 to 776 of the family's 1533-position model. The record is from RNAcentral. Lineage: Bacteria; Bacillati; Bacillota; Clostridia; Lachnospirales; Lachnospiraceae.